RNAcentral lists this ribosomal RNA (591 nucleotides) under uncultured bacterium. RNAcentral's name for it is "bacterial SSU rRNA". It matches the Rfam family "Bacterial small subunit ribosomal RNA", at positions 1 to 590 of the family's 1533-position model. The record is from RNAcentral.
GCCCUUAGAGUUUGAUCCUGGCUCAGAUUGAACGCUGGCGGCAUGCCUUACACAUGCAAGUCGAACGGUAACAGGUCUUCGGAUGCUGACGAGUGGCGAACGGGUGAGUAAUACAUCGGAACGUGCCCGAUCGUGGGGGAUAACGAGGCGAAAGCUUUGCUAAUACCGCAUACGAUCUACGGAUGAAAGCGGGGGAUCUUCGGACCUCGCGCGGACGGAGCGGCCGAUGGCAGAUUAGGUAGUUGGUGGGAUAAAAGCUUACCAAGCCGACGAUCUGUAGCUGGUCUGAGAGGAUGAUCAGCCACACUGGGACUGAGACACGGCCCAGACUCCUACGGGAGGCAGCAGUGGGGAAUUUUGGACAAUGGGCGAAAGCCUGAUCCAGCCAUGCCGCGUGCAGGAUGAGGGCCUUCGGGUUGUAAACUGCUUUUGUACGGAACGAAAAGCCUCUUUCUAAUAAAGAGGGGUCAUGACGGUACCGUAAGAAUAAGCACCGGCUAACUACGUGCCAGCAGCCGCGGUAAUACGUAGGGUGCAAGCGUUAAUCGGAAUUACUGGGCGUAAAGCGUGCGCAGGCGGUUUUGUAAGACA